UACAGAGGGGGCAAGCGUUGUUCGGAAUUACUGGGCGUAAAGGGCGCGUAGGCGGCUCGCUAAGUCGAACGUGAAAUCCCCGAGCUCAACUCGGGAACUGCGUCCGAUACUGGCGGGCUUGAAUCCGGGAGAGGGGUGCGGAAUUCCAGGUGUAGCGGUGAAAUGCGUAGAUAUCUGGAGGAACACCGGUGGCGAAGGCGGCAUCCUGGACCGGCAUUGACGCUGAGGCGCGAAAGCUAGGGGAGCAAACGGG
RNAcentral lists this ribosomal RNA (253 nucleotides) under uncultured bacterium. Its description in RNAcentral is "partial 16S ribosomal RNA". It matches the Rfam family "Bacterial small subunit ribosomal RNA", at positions 524 to 776 of the family's 1533-position model. The record is from RNAcentral.